RNAcentral lists this ribosomal RNA (803 nucleotides) under uncultured bacterium. RNAcentral describes it as "bacterial SSU rRNA". It matches the Rfam family "Bacterial small subunit ribosomal RNA", at positions 8 to 805 of the family's 1533-position model. The record is from RNAcentral.
AGAGUUUGAUCCUGGCUCAGGAUGAACGCUAGCGAUAGGCUUAACACAUGCAAGUCGAGGGGCAGCGGGGGUAGCAAUACCCGCCGGCGACCGGCGCACGGGUGAGUAACGCGUAUGCAACUUACCUAUCAGAGGGGGAUAACCCGGCGAAAGUCGGACUAAUACCGCAUGAAGCAGGGGCCCCGCAUGGGGAUAUUUGCUAAAGAUUCAUCGCUGAUAGAUAGGCAUGCGUUCCAUUAGGCAGUUGGCGGGGUAACGGCCCACCAAACCGACGAUGGAUAGGGGUUCUGAGAGGAAGGUCCCCCACAUUGGUACUGAGACACGGACCAAACUCCUACGGGAGGCAGCAGUGAGGAAUAUUGGUCAAUGGGCGUAAGCCUGAACCAGCCAAGUCGCGUGAGGGAUGAAGGUUCUAUGGAUCGUAAACCUCUUUUAUAAGGGAAUAAAGUGUGGGACGUGUCCUGUUUUGUAUGUACCUUAUGAAUAAGGAUCGGCUAACUCCGUGCCAGCAGCCGCGGUAAUACGGAGGAUCCGAGCGUUAUCCGGAUUUAUUGGGUUUAAAGGGUGCGUAGGCGGCCUUUUAAGUCAGCGGUGAAAGUCUGUGGCUCAACCAUAGAAUUGCCGUUGAAACUGGGGGGCUUGAGUAUGUUUGAGGCAGGCGGAAUGCGUGGUGUAGCGGUGAAAUGCUUAGAUAUCACGCAGAACCCCGAUUGCGAAGGCAGCCUGCCAAGCCAUGACUGACGCUGAUGCACGAAAGCGUGGGGAUCAAACAGGAUUAGAUACCCUGGUAGUCCACGCAGUAA